This 245-nucleotide ribosomal RNA is filed under the name uncultured bacterium. RNAcentral describes it as "partial 16S ribosomal RNA". It matches the Rfam family "Bacterial small subunit ribosomal RNA", at positions 524 to 768 of the family's 1533-position model. The record is from RNAcentral.
UACAGAGGUGGCGAGCGUUACUCGGAUUUAUUGGGUGUAAAGGGCAAGUAGGCGUCUUGACAAGUUGGGAGUGAAGUCCUGCAGCUCAACUGCAGAACUGCUUCUAAAGCUGUCGAGAUUGAGUCUGGGAGAGGAAAGCGGAAUUCUCGGUGUAAGAGUGAAAUCUGUAGAUAUCGAGAGGAACACCAGUGGCGAAGGCGGCUUUCCGGCCCAGUUCUGACGCUGAAUUGCGAAAGCUAGGGGAG